Molecule: ribosomal RNA, 253 nt
Filed under: uncultured bacterium
Lineage: Bacteria
Description: partial 16S ribosomal RNA
Rfam family: Bacterial small subunit ribosomal RNA
Source: RNAcentral
UACGUAGGGGGCAAGCGUUGUCCGGAAUUAUUGGGCGUAAAGAGCUCGUAGGCGGCCGGUUGCGUCUGCUGUGAAAUCCCGGGGCUUAACCCCGGGCGUGCAGUGGAUACGGGCCGGCUGGAGGCAGGCAGGGGAGAAUGGAAUUCCCGGUGUAGCGGUGAAAUGCGCAGAUAUCGGGAGGAACACCGGUGGCGAAGGCGGUUCUCUGGGCCUGUACUGACGCUGAGGAGCGAAAGCGUGGGGAGCGAACAGG